AAAACUGUGGCACUACUUACACAACUUAUUUACUGAAUGUGGAUGGUUAGAAACUGCCUCUGGGGGUUUGUGGAAAAAAGGAGACAAUUCCUGACAACCACUUAAAGUAACAUUUUGGUAAGUAUUAAUUUAAUUAAAAAAAUAAAACCACAAAGUCUCCUCUGAAAUAGGACUUCAUCUUUGAUUUUUUUUAACCCUGAUAAAAUCAAAGGGAUUUCUUCAUUAAAAAAAAAAAAUCAAACUCCAGCUGAUAUUAUUAAUCAUUUCCCUCAAUCUUUUAAAGCAAAGAUCUUCUGUGUGAUACCAAGACUUUGAUAAAGCCACCAGAACAAAAUUACCAUAUUUUGUUUAAUUGAAUUGAGUUGCUUCUUACUGGCAAUUCAUUGUGAGUGUUGUGUGCUUACUUUAGUGACCAGCACAGUGUUAAACUUCAUCGACUUUUGCUGUCAUGCAAACUAAAUAACCCAUAAUAACUGGGGGGGGGGGGGGGGGGGGGGGAGGUUGAAGAGGAUCUUUCUGUAUUGUUUCAUAUUGCUCGAAUAGUUAACUGGAGAAGGAGGCUAAGAAGUGCUGUUGCCCAUGGCAGCAUGCAGCUGGAGGAGCACCAAAGCUGGCUGCAGGGGCCCUGAGCAGAGGGACCUCCAAGCAGCUCUGCAUGCUGUGCCUCAGCCGGGCCCUGGCGGCCAUCUGAAGGAGCAGCCUGCUCUGGCAACCUGCCUUGGCCUUCACAAAAUGGAGGCAGCCGCCUGUGGGCAAACGGAGAUCACAGCAAUUGCUUUGAAGCGUGUUGUGGUUUCUGUACUGCUUGCACACUGUUCUCCAAAAUUCUCCAACAACCUGAGAGCCUGCCAGGGAUUUGGUUGCAUUCUGAUUUGUACUGGUGGCAGACAAAUAUAUGAAGUGGAGUGUCCACUGAAGCCUUGGGAAUGGCUCACUUAGUAGAUCACUCACCCGAUGGCAUGCAAAAAGGAGAAAGCAAUGCUUGCAGUCAACAAAUCCUCUGCAAGAGGGAAUGGACUCUUCUCCAAGUAAAAUAUUGAUGAACCUAUAUAUUAAAUAUUUAAAAUAACAAGAAAAGGCAUGGAAUUGUUUAUGUUAAUACUGUUUAAUUUCCACCAUUUUUGAAAAUAGUGAUUGUAGUGCUUAAACCUGCAGUGAUGGUCUCUGCAGCCUGUUUUCAGUCCCCGGAAGCAGUGGCAUUAGAGGGUUCGCCAGUACUCUUAUGUCACUCACUGCACUCAGCUGUCAGUCUCUUCUGUAGCAGAAGGUGAAAGCACAAUCGAAAGCUCCAACUCUCCUACUCUGUGGAGGGACGGGUGGCUGAGUACUAUUCAAUUCAGAGUACAUUUCUUCUGGGAGCAGCACUUACCAGCAAGAAAUUACUCUUUCAAAGAUGUUCCACAGAUUGGAUUGUGCUCCCCAAGAACAAAGGCUCAAAUGAGAUCUCCAAGAGCAAUACAGACCAAAAUGGGCAUCAUGUUUUCUCAUUGAGGAUGAGGAUACUGUGACUAUAUUAAUACUGCCUGACCAGUUAGAGAGCUGUUCAUAAACAGUUAGGAUUGUCUGACACUCACUCUAUUAACGCUCCCUGGCAGUAGCUCUACACCAGUGCUCAGAUGCCAGCACAGUUUAUUUACACACUCAUGAUGGACAGCCAUAAGGCACCUCUGCACUCCUGGGAACCUCACUGAUAUUUGUGCUAAGAUCACUUAACACCCUUAUCGAGCAUUAAAAUUACUCAAUUUUUUACUCUGCAGUGUGGAGUGCAAAAGUCCGCAUGUAAAUAAGAGUCAGUCAGCUGUGUUUGUUUAUUUAAUGGAAAAGGGCUGAUCUGGCUUUGACAAAU
Numida meleagris (helmeted guineafowl) is the source of this 1846-nucleotide long non-coding RNA. Lineage: Eukaryota; Metazoa; Chordata; Aves; Galliformes; Numididae. The record is from Ensembl.